This 417-nucleotide long non-coding RNA is filed under the name Bos taurus (domestic cattle). RNAcentral describes it as "long non-coding RNA NONBTAT000591". The record is from RNAcentral. Lineage: Eukaryota; Metazoa; Chordata; Mammalia; Artiodactyla; Bovidae.
UGCUAUAGUUAACCAUAGUAACUGGCUGAAGCUGAAAAAGGAACAUCAAGUUCUGGUGAGCCCUCACUCAGACUCUCCAGACCAAUGAACAAUGGGGCUUGUUAAAUCAAUCACAUAAGACCUAGGGUCUGGCUCCAUUCUAUCCAAAGAAGUAGUUUUCAAUGCUUACUUGGCAUAAGCACCUUGAAUCUUUCUAAAGCACUUACAAAAUUCUGACUUUUCCUUCUAAGUAAAUAGUCACUGAAUUUGUUUUUGUUUUUAACUGAUUAGUGUUUUCUUGUCAAAGAAAUAAACUUUGCUUUCUUCUUCUUCUUUUUACUAUUUAAACUCUGGUGGUCUUUGUUUCAUUUACAGAGAACAGGCAGUCAAUAGUGACUUAGCAAUGUAAAUUUUCUUUUUCAUCCCUGAACAAGUUCU